AUACUCUGGUUUCUCUUCAGAACGAAAAAAUAUUUCGCCUUUUACUAAAGAUUUCCAUGGAGAGGAACAGUUAUGAGUCAGUAACCAAAUUUUUUGAGGACUUGCAUAUGCAGGCCU
Carlito syrichta (Philippine tarsier) is the source of this 117-nucleotide small nuclear RNA. Its record names the gene U5. It matches the Rfam family "U5 spliceosomal RNA". From Rfam's summary of the family: U5 RNA is a component of both types of known spliceosome. The precise function of this molecule is unknown, though it is known that the 5' loop is required for splice site selection and p220 binding, and that both the 3' stem-loop and the Sm site are important for Sm protein binding and cap methylation. NCBI's taxonomy places the organism in Eukaryota, Metazoa, Chordata, Mammalia, Primates, Tarsiidae. The record is from Ensembl.